Molecule: ribosomal RNA, 449 nt
Filed under: uncultured bacterium
Lineage: Bacteria
Description: partial 16S ribosomal RNA
Rfam family: Bacterial small subunit ribosomal RNA
Source: RNAcentral
AACGAACGCUGGCGGCAGGCUUAACACAUGCAAGUCGAACGCAUCCUUCGGGGUGAGUGGCAGACGGGUGAGUAACGCGUGGGAACGUGCCCUUCAGUUCGGGAUAACCCAGGGAAACUUGGGCUAAUACCGGAUACGUGCGAGAGCAGAAAGAUUUAUCGCUGAAGGAUCGGCCCGCGUCUGAUUAGCCAGUUGGUGAGGUAAUGGCUCACCAAGGCGACGAUCAGUAGCUGGUCUGAGAGGAUGAUCAGCCACACUGGGACUGGGACACGCCCCAGACUCCUACGGGAGGCAGCAGUGGGGAAUAUUGGACAAUGGGCGCAAGCCUGAUCCAGCCAUGCCGCGUGAGUGAUGAAGGCCUUAGGGUUGUAAAGCUCUUUCGGCGGGGACGAUAAUGACGGUACCCGCAGAAGAAGCCCCGGCUAACUUCGUGCCAGCCGCCGCAGUAA